AAAUAUAUUUGUGAGGUAGCUGGUGUGUGAGGGAGGUAUCUGGUGUGUGAGGGAGGUAGCUGGUGUGUGAGGGAGGUAGCUGUGUGCAAGGUAGGUAGCUGGCGUGUGAGGGAGGUAGCUGGUGUGUGAGGGAGGUAGCUGGUGUGUGAGGGAGGUAGCUGGUGUGUGAGGGAGGUAGCUGGUGUGUGAGGGAGGUAGCUGGUGUGUGAGGGAGGUAGCUGGUGUGUGAGGGAGGUAGCUGUGUGCAAGGUAGGUAGCUGGUGUGUGAGGGAGGUAGCUGGCGUGUGAGGGAGGUAGCUGGUGUGUGAGGGAGGUAGCUGGCGUGUGAGGGAGGUAGCUGGUGUGUGAGGGAGGUAGCUGGUGUGUGAGGGAGGUAGCUGGUGUGUGAGGGAGGUAGCUGGUGUGUGAGGGAGGUAGCUGUGUGCAAGGUAGGUAGCUGGCGUGUGAGGGAGGUAGCUGGUGUGUGAGGGAGGUAGCUGGCGUGUGAGGGAGGUAGCUGGCGUGUGAGGGAGGUAGCUGGCGUGUGAGGGAGGUAGCUGGAGUGUGAGGGAGAUAGCUGGAGUGUGAGGGAGGUAGCUGGAGUGUGAGGGAGGUGGCUGGCGUGUGAGGGAGGUAGCUGUGUGCAAGGUAGGUAGCUGGCGUGUGAGGGAGGUAGCUGGUGUGUGAGGGAGGUAGCUGGUGUGUGAGGGAGGUAGCUGGUGUGUGAGGGAGGUAGCUGGCGUGUGAGGGAGGUAGCUGGCGUGUGAGGGAGGUAGCUGGUGUGUGAGGGAGGUAGCUGUGUGCAAGGUAGGUAGCUGGCGUGUGAGGGAGGUAGCUGGUGUGUGAGGGAGGUAGCUGGCGUGUGAGGGAGUUAGCUGGCGUGUGAGGGAGGUAGCUG
This is a long non-coding RNA of Oncorhynchus tshawytscha (Chinook salmon), 877 nucleotides long. NCBI's taxonomy places the organism in Eukaryota, Metazoa, Chordata, Actinopteri, Salmoniformes, Salmonidae. The record is from Ensembl.